UCAGCACGGCUGAGCUUUUUCUCAACCUGUUUCCUAUCAAGAAUAGAACCUGAUGAAAAUGACCUCCUCAAGAGAGAGACUCUCAAGCAGGGCUUCUUAAAGUUGGAAAUCCCCACAGAUCACCUGGGGGGCUUGUUAAAAUGCAGAUUCUGACUCUGUAGGUCUGGGGUAGGGCCUGAGAUUCUGCAUUUCCAACAAGCUCCAAGAUGCCCCUGCUGCUGGUCUAGGAACCACAGUUUGAGUAGCCAGGAUCUAAGUGUCUCUUGAUGUCAGACUCUUCAGCUAUGAUUACUGAACAAUAAUUGGGCUAAUGGUGUUGGGUUUAAGACCCAGCAUUUUCCACAAGCAUGUAUACUAUAUGUACCUCACUUUGGAAAGGAUGGUCAAACUCUGGACCCACAGGCAGAUAAUGGCCAACUGGAAAAUUUCUUUAUGCAUCUUCUCAGAGAUCUCUUCUGAUGGAUCUGAAAAAAGGAAGAUGAACUUUAGAAAUAUAUUGUCAAAAUAAAAUCAAUCCUCAAGAAAUUAUGAUCCGGAGUGCAUUAUCCCCUCCUUCGGGAAGAAUGGACAUCUUUACAAGAUUAAGUCUACCCAACGAGGAACAUGAUGGAGUAAGUUAAGAUGAGGUCAUACUGGAUUAGAAUGGCCCCUAAAGCCAAUGACUGGUGUUCUCAUAAGAAGGCCAUGUGAAGAAAUACAGACACGGGCAGAGGGAAGAUGGCAUGUGGAGACAGAGGCAAAGAAUGGAGUGAUGCAGCUACAAGCCAAGGAACACCAAGGAUUGCUGGCAAACCACCAGAAGCUAGGAGAGAGGGGAUUCCUCCUAUAGAAAAAUCCAUGUCACCAAACUUGAGAGAAGAUUUUAAAAGCAUCAAAUUCCAGUGCUUCUUUCAGACCAAAGUCAACUGCCAUUGUUUCUUCUAUCAAGUUUUCAUAUAUAAUGUUCCUGUUUUUUUUGCUAGAAUAACUUUUUUCGGGAUUUUUCAUACAGUUAUGUAGGUGGCAAAUUGUCUACAUUUUUGCAUGUCUGAAAAUGUAUUUUAUUCUUACACUUGUAGUUUGGCUAAGCAUAAAUUAUAGGUUCCUAAUAAUUUUCCCUCAGAGUUUUAAAAGCAUCAUAUUCUUGGAGUUCUGAAAUUAUGAUAAUUCACCUCUCACCAUGGUUCCUGCUGCCCAAUUCCUCUCACACAGCUA
This 1194-nucleotide long non-coding RNA is filed under the name Equus caballus (horse). RNAcentral describes it as "lncRNA (ENSECAG00000052287.1)". Lineage: Eukaryota; Metazoa; Chordata; Mammalia; Perissodactyla; Equidae. The record is from RNAcentral.